RNAcentral lists this long non-coding RNA (567 nucleotides) under Erythranthe guttata (spotted monkey flower). Its description in RNAcentral is "long non-coding RNA (EGUT_LNC003252)". The record is from RNAcentral. Lineage: Eukaryota; Viridiplantae; Streptophyta; Magnoliopsida; Lamiales; Phrymaceae.
AGGUUUGUCAGCACCAGCUGGCACUUCGCCAAGUCAUCAUCAGAAGACAAACUCGGCCGGCAGUCAGGAUUCUCCCUCGCUUCUCUGAGCAGCUGGUAAGCGUUGGAUGCUAAUGUGUUGUACGUGAUUCUGCGAACUCGCGUAUUAUUAUUGUUAAUGGCGAUUUUUAUUGUGGUCGUUUUUUGUAGAAUGUCCUCGAUGAAGAGGGUGGUCCCACCAUGGUUGAGUGAUGCUAAACUCGAGUACUUGUACUCGUGUCCGAAAACGAGCAGAUUGCAGGGGACCGUGCUGCGGAAGAAUUCCAAGAGAAACUGCAUUUCCUUAUCUGUUGGGCGGUUGCUUUCGGAGGGAUCUUGAUCUUGGAUAUUCUGUGCACAGACCGAAGAAGACGAAGAAGAACAAUCGAGGUGGUGGAUGGGAGAAUUAAUAGUGCUUCUGAUCAUACUUAUAUUGAGAAAUCUGAAGAUUGAAGCACCGAAUAAAAUGAAAACAAGAAGUGGGAUUAGCUUCUUUUUUGUGAAUUUCAUUCUAUUUUGUCGAUACUUUUGACGCAGAAUCUGCUUAAGA